GGCCCUACGAAAGCCUGGGAGGACGUUUGCUAGAACUUAAAAACCGCCAGGGUGCUGGCGGGGAGGGGAACAUUCCUGGAGAGAGUUUUAAAUUGGGGGUUUUCAGGCUAAUACCAUUACCGCCCUGUCUUACUCGCUCACGUCUCAAUGAAGUUUUAGGCUGGGUUUGGGCAGUAAUGACAAGUAGACAUCUCCCCGGCCAAAUUCAUAUUAUUUGGGGCCUUACGCUUCCUUCGCCCCGAACACAAACGUGGAGUUCUCUGCUUGGAGCACCUGUGCUGUCACUCACAGAAUAACUCAGGGCAUGCAAAGUUCUGAAGACUGGAAAUCCAAGAUCAAGAGCCAGCAGAUUUGGUGUUUGAGUCAAAGCCAAGAAGUCAAGAAAGGUGGCCAUCUCACGGAGAUUGUCUUAGAGGGCCAGCAGCCUUCACAGCACCAACUCCACUCCUCAGUACUGGUCAACAUUAAUGAGUGAUGCUCUUUCCAGGCACUGCUCCAACCGCGUACGUAAUCCUCACAGCAUCCCGUUGAGACAGGUACCAUUGUUGAUCCCAUGUCACAGAUGGACAAACUGAGGUCCAAGGUGGUUAAAUACUUGACCCAGGAUCACCCAGCUAGGAAAUGACAGUCUUGAUUUAAACACAAACAGUUCUAUGCUCUUAUCCAUCAGUCUAUAUGGCAUCUCAAUUGUUUUCAACUUUAUUGUAAAUAAAAUUUACCUUGAAGCACUGGG
Molecule: long non-coding RNA, 733 nt
Organism: Felis catus (domestic cat)
Lineage: Eukaryota; Metazoa; Chordata; Mammalia; Carnivora; Felidae
Exons: 3
Source: RefSeq, a predicted model, not a curated record